UCCCAGACUCCUACGGGAGGCAGCAGUGGGGAAUAUUGGGCAAUGGGCGCAAGCCUGACCCAGCAACGCCGCGUGAAGGAAGAAGGCUUUCGGGUUGUAAACUUCUUUUCUCAGGGACGAAGCAAGUGACGGUACCUGCAAAGGAAGCACCGGCUAACUCCGUGCCAGCAGCCGCGGUAAUACGGAGGGUGCGAGCGUUAAUCGGAAUUACUGGGCGUAAAGCGCUCGUAGGCGGUAUGUCAAGUCAAGGGUGAAAUCCCCGCGCUCAACGUGGGAACUGCCCUUGAAACUGGCAAACUGGAGUGUGUGAGAGGAUAGUGGAAUUCCAGGUGUAGGAGUGAAAUCCGUAGAUAUCUGGAGGAACAUCAGUGGCGAAGGCGACUAUCUGGCACAUAACUGACGCUGAGGAGCGAAAGCGUGGGUAGCAAACAGGAUUAGAUACCCCUGUAGG
This 451-nucleotide ribosomal RNA is filed under the name uncultured bacterium. RNAcentral's name for it is "bacterial SSU rRNA". It matches the Rfam family "Bacterial small subunit ribosomal RNA", at positions 329 to 794 of the family's 1533-position model. The record is from RNAcentral.